UGGGGGAUAUUGCACAAUGGAGGAAACUCUGAUGCAGCAACGCCGCGUGAGGGAAGAAGGUCUUCGGAUUGUAAACCUUUGUCCUUGGUGACGAUAAUGACGGUAGCCAAGGAGGAAGCUCCGGCUAACUACGUGCCAGCAGCCGCGGUAAUACGUAGGGAGCGAGCGUUGUCCGGAGUUACUGGGUGUAAAGGGUGCGUAGGCGGGCAUACAAGUCAGAUGUGAAAUACCAAGGCUUAACCUUGGGGCUGCAUUUGAAACUGUGUGUCUUGAGUGAUGGAGAGGCAGGCGGAAUUCCCGGUGUAGCGGUAAAAUGCAUAGAGAUCGGGAGGAACACCAGUGGCGAAGGCGGCCUGCUGGACAUUAACUGACGCUGAGGCGCGAAAGUGUGGGGAGCAAACAGG
This 404-nucleotide ribosomal RNA is filed under the name uncultured prokaryote. RNAcentral's name for it is "bacterial SSU rRNA". It matches the Rfam family "Bacterial small subunit ribosomal RNA", at positions 355 to 776 of the family's 1533-position model. The record is from RNAcentral.